RNAcentral lists this long non-coding RNA (500 nucleotides) under Rhinolophus ferrumequinum (greater horseshoe bat). RNAcentral's name for it is "lncRNA (ENSRFEG00010001050.1)". Lineage: Eukaryota; Metazoa; Chordata; Mammalia; Chiroptera; Rhinolophidae. The record is from RNAcentral.
GAGUUGGUGGAUGACGUAGCUCUCACGUGACCAAGAGCUGACGUGUGCAGAAGUCCUUCUUGUUCUGGUCGUUGUUCCCGUCUGAGUACCAGCUCCCCAUUGCCCUGAGGGCGAGCGAGCCUGAGGCAGAGGGAAGAAGGAGGAGGAGAAGGAAACUGUCCCGGAUCCCUGCAGUGGGUCCGAUCCUCUCCCAGUUGCCAGUGUUUCCAUAGUUUGCGACACUACGCCAGUCAAGUGAAGAGGAAGGAAAUUAACCCUGAUCAGUGAAGGUCGAUUUGAGGGUCUGCUGUAGCAGGUGGCACCACUUGAAGCAAGGGAGGAAGUUUCCUGGGACCAGUAGAGGUAGGUGUGGGCGUGGGGGCUGCCUGGAAUGGGGGAGGGGUUGGAAAUCCACUGCGAUUGGACAGGUUCACCCAAUCCUACCUUAUUUCCCUAACAGGGAAGGGGCAGGCCUGUGCAUAUUUUGGAUGGCAUAAAGAGGUUAUUAAGAAAAAAAUCUA